RNAcentral lists this unclassified non-coding RNA (362 nucleotides) under uncultured bacterium. RNAcentral's name for it is "contains 16S-23S intergenic spacer region". The record is from RNAcentral.
UCCCCGUUACCGAGGCAGUCUGACUAGAUAUUACAACUAGCCAUGAGGGUUGCGCUCGUUGAAGGACUUAACCUAACAUCUCACGACACGAGCUGACGACAGCCAUGCAUCACCUGUCACCGAGUUCCUUGCGGCACAGUCUGGUUUCCCAGACCUUCUCGGGAUGUCAAACCUUGGUAAGGUUCUUCGCGUAUCCUCGAAUUAAACCACACGCUCCACCGCUUGUGCGGGUCCCCGUCAAUUCCUUUGAGUUUUAAGCUUGCGCUCGUACUCCCCAGGCGGAAUGCUUAACGCGUUAGCUUCGCUACCGAGCCGGUCGAUAGGCCCAACAGCUAGCAUUCAUCGUUUACGGCGUGGACUAC